UACGUAGGGUGCGAGCGUUGUCCGGAAUUAUUGGGCGUAAAGGGCGCGUAGGCGAUUUGAAAAGUCUUGUGUGAAAGCCCCGAGCUUAACUCGGGAAGUGCACAAGAAACUGUUGAAUUUGAGUUCCGGAGAGGAAGGCAGAAUUCCCGGUGUAGCGGUGAAAUGCGCAGAUAUCGGGAAGAACACCCGUGGCGAAGGCGGCUCUCUGGGACGGUACUGACGCUGAGACGCGAAAGCGUGGGGAGCGAACAGG
RNAcentral lists this ribosomal RNA (253 nucleotides) under uncultured bacterium. RNAcentral describes it as "partial 16S ribosomal RNA". It matches the Rfam family "Bacterial small subunit ribosomal RNA", at positions 524 to 776 of the family's 1533-position model. The record is from RNAcentral.